CGUGGUUAACCUGCCCUUGGGACGGAAACACCCCCGGGAAACUGGGGCUAAUUUCCGAUAGGUGAAGGCUCCUGGAAUGGAUCUUCGCCUAAAGGGCGCUUAGGCCAUGCUUCUAGGCGCUGCCCAAGGAUGGGGCCGCGGCCGAUUAGGUUGUUGGUGAGGUAAUGGCUCACCAAGCCUUUAACCGGUUCGGGCCGUGGGAGCGGGAGCCCGGAGAUGGGCACUGAGACAAGGGCCCAGGUCCUACGGGGCGCAGCAGUCGCGAAAACUCCGCAAUACGCGAAGGCGUGACGGGGCUAUCCCGAGUGCCGUCCGCUGAGGAUGGCUUUUCCCCAGUGUAGAUAGCUGGGGGAAUAAGGAGAGGGCAAGUCUGGUGUCAGCCGCCGCGGUAAUACCAGCUCUCCGAGUGGUGGGGACGUUUGUUGGGCCUAAAGCAUCCGUAGCCAGCUGAGCAAGUCCCCAGUUAAAUCCAGCGAUUUAAUCGUUGGACUGCUGGGGAUACUGUCCGGCUAGGGGGUGGGAGAGGCCGACGGUAUUCCCGGGGUAGGGGUGAAAUCCUAUAAUCCCGGGAGGACCACCAGUGGCGAAGGCUGUUGGCUAAAACAUGCCCGACGGUGAGGGAUGAAAGCUGGGGGAGCGAACCGGAUUAGAUACCCGGGUAGUCCCAGCUGU
Molecule: ribosomal RNA, 672 nt
Filed under: uncultured archaeon
Lineage: Archaea
Description: bacterial SSU rRNA
Rfam family: Archaeal small subunit ribosomal RNA
Source: RNAcentral